RNAcentral lists this ribosomal RNA (253 nucleotides) under uncultured bacterium. RNAcentral's name for it is "partial 16S ribosomal RNA". It matches the Rfam family "Bacterial small subunit ribosomal RNA", at positions 524 to 776 of the family's 1533-position model. The record is from RNAcentral.
UACGUAGGGUGCGAGCGUUAAUCGGAAUUACUGGGCGUAAAGUGUGCGCAGGUGGCCGCGCAAGUCGAGUGUGAAAUCCCCGAGCUUAACUUGGGAAUUGCGCUCGAAACUACGUGGCUCGAGUGUGGCAGAGGAAGGUGGAAUUCCACGUGUAGCGGUGAAAUGCGUAGAUAUGCGGAGGAACACCAGUGGCGAAGGCGGCCACCUGGACCGUCCCUGACGCUCAAACACGAAAGCUAGGGUAGCGAACGGG